This is a long non-coding RNA of Orcinus orca (killer whale), 3239 nucleotides long. RefSeq lists it as uncharacterized. The record is from RefSeq and is a predicted model, not a curated record. NCBI's taxonomy places the organism in Eukaryota, Metazoa, Chordata, Mammalia, Artiodactyla, Delphinidae. The transcript has 2 exons.
AUGAGACCACCCCUCCACCCUUCCUCCUCCAUCCCAUCUUUUAGAAACAUGGUCUCCCAGCUACAGACUACAUUUCCCAGCAUCCCUUGAAGCUAAAUGAGUGUUCUUAUAAAAGAAAGGCAGAGAAGGAUCUGAUACACUGGGAAGAGGAGAAGGUCAUGUGACCAUGAGACAGAGAUUGGAAGGAUGUGGCCACAAGCCAAGGAAUGCUGGCAGCCUCCAGAACUUGGAAGGGUCAAGGAAUGGAUUCUCCCUUUGAGCCUCUGAAGCAAGUGCAGCCCUUGAUUACUGUCCAGUGAAAAGGAUUUUGGACUUCUGGCUUCAAGAACUGUGAGACAAUACAUUUCUGUUGUUUUAAGCCACUGGUUUGUGGUAAUUCGUUUCAGCAACAACAGGAAACGAAUAUACUCGUCAUGACUGUGGAUUCUCUUCUCACAGACCUCUAUUAGCCUAACCUAAGGGAAACAGGAGGUGGAAGAAAAAGAAAAAUUAAGAAACAGAAUGCAAGCAAGAGAUAAAGGAAGAGGAGGAGGAGGAGAAGAAAGAAGAAUCAGGAAAAAAGUGGAGGAGAAAUAACUCACUGAAUGGUACAGGUCAUGUGUGAAUCAUAUUGGGGAGAAGUUCACAUAGCCCCUAAAGUCCACUUCUAUCAGUGUGGUGGGUAUUAAGCCUAUGCCCAGGCCUGGGUCAGAAGAGGAAUUUGUCUUUAAAACUUCUUAUGAUUCAUCCAAUAGUUGUAAUGUAGCUUACUGAAUUUUUUCUCAUCGAGGUCACCAAUGACCUCCUUUUGGUUAAAAAGCAGUAACCCCCUAGUCAUCAAGUUCUUUAACCUGACAUGCCAACACUAUAUAUCCUUCAAGAUCCUGCUCAUAACCCACCUCCUCUACAAAACCUCCCUUGACCUGUGUUAUUUUUCUGAAUUCCUAUUACACUCACAGGAAGUAUGUCUGUUAUUAUUUCUGCCCCUAUAAAAAGAGGCCAGAACUGCUUACUGCUAAACAUCCCAAAAUGUAUAAAACGCCCCCUACAGCAAAGAAUUAUAUUUUUAUCCCCCUUCAGCAAUUUUCACAGGGCUGGUCUGUAAGAGUCCUGUGGUGACUGACUAUCGCUACUUUGAGUCCAGCAAUACAGAUAGUCUCAUCUCUUUCAUUUCUACCUAUUUAUUGUAUUGAUGAUCGAUACAUAUGGUGAUCAAUAUUAGAAUUAUGUCCCUGUGGCAUGCUAGGUCUAAAUCAUAAAAAAAUACAUUGACAAAAUUCACUGUCUUGCUGGUUAAGAAAAUCUACUCAUAUAUUUCAGAAAGUUUUCCAACUAGAAGAGUUGAGGCCAGAAAGCAUUUCUCAUUCAUCCUAAUUUAACCCCGAAAUGCAAUUAAUGGCAACCCCUCAAGUCUUUAAUAUUCAAAGCAUCUGAAGAUUUACUUUAUUAUCAGAAGAGUUACAGGUUUGUCCUAAAAUACACCUGCUUUCUGGUAUUUAUUUCCCAAUAUGUGGCAAGUCUCAUAUAAUGGAAACUUAUUUUUUAAUUGAUAUAUGCUCCUGGCUUAGCAUUUCCAAAAGGAAAGUUUUCAUUCUGGGGCCUAUUUAUACUUUUAGUAUUGCUCAUUUGCAUCCAGUGUAACUGAAAUUGAAGCUCAGUUCAGGAAACUAUCCCACGGUAAGUGAUCAGAUAAUUGCCCACAUGCAAACCAUUAUGCACACACAUGGCUAAAGAAUCUAGUCAAGGAUAUACAACUGUUUGUGAGCAGUCCUCGUGAUUUCACUUUUUUAUUUUUUAAGCAUAAAAAUACCAAAGGCACAUUGUGGCAUUCCCAUCACAUAAAAGCAGUGAAUAUAAACCACAUCAUACAAUUAAGAAUCACAAACACACAGAGAAUGGUAAUAAAUUAAGUAAAACAACUGAACUAAUUAACAUACUUCCAAAACAGAAAACCAAGACUUAAAACAUUAUAUACCUUAGUGAAAUAACAGCUGCUCUUAUUACAAACCAUAUAUUCCAUUAGUGUGGUAUUUUGUAAUUUAUUGCCUUUCCCACCUUGGAAAAAUUAUGUUACAGUUAUAAGGCCAUAUUAACAUUUUUGGCCUUCUAUAAGUAACAGCUUUUGAAACUGGACAUGCAGCUAUCCAUUAAGUCAGUUGCCUGAAAAAAAGCUUUCUUUCUUUUUUUUUUUUUUUAGCUCUUUCAGAAUGCUCCAAAAGAAUGAUUCAGAGAAAUCAUAAAAAGAUUAAUUCAUAAUAAUGAAAUGAUGAACUUCAUAAAAUAUAAACGCCCUUCCCACCUAAUGUGUUAUCUAUGUAUCUAAAGCAUGAUGCAGUCACAACAUCCACAUUUACCAGAUUUCUAUUCUGAUGACCUUAGUUAGUCUGGAAUAAUGAUGAGGAUCAAAAGGCCCACACACCCUGGAAAGCUUAGAGGGUUUUAGGUAGGGAAAACGGUUCUUGACUAGGCUGGUAUUACUAGGUUCCUUUUUUCAACUUUCCAAAGAGAAUCCUACAGGUUGUACUCUGUUUUCCUGUUUGCUCAUGAUAAAAUGCUUAGUAUUCUAUUACCACUUUCUGACACUCAAACUUCACUCUGCCCCUGAAAAAGGAAAAUCAUUUUCUUCAACCAGGGCCUUCUUCCUUGCAUUAAUAUUAAUAUCCCAUGAGAAUAUUAGCUCUGGAGGAAAGAAUGUGGUGGCAAAAUUCCAUAUUUUCUCAUGAAAUUCACUCCCAACUUCCACUCACACAUUAAUAGGACGGUCAGGAGAAAAGCUCGCCAUUCCCCCCGGCCUCUCUUCACACUUCCCCUCGGCUUCUUCUGACACCCACUCUGUUUUUAUUUUUCUUUCCUACUGAACCAGAAGCCACUUUUAUUAGUAGAGGCUCUUCUUUAGGCAGAGUAUAUUUUGUAUUUAUUAGAGCAAACAAGGAUUUAAGUUUAAAAAAAUUGGUUGGCACUGGCUAGAGCAUAGAGACAGAAAAUGGAGUCUGCUCAGUCCCCUAGGCUCUAACCCCACCUGACGGCUCUUUCUCCCCUCUCUUGGGCUGCGGGAAGGAUGUAUCAAAACCUAAUGUAUUAUCAAGCCUUAGUUAUAUUUAAGCAAGGUCAGUGGAGUUGACAGCUGUUGCCUCUCUUUUUUUUUCCUAGAAAUGCUAUUUAAAAGACUUUCUGGAAAAAAAGAAACCCCUUAAUGCCAUUAAUUCUUCUGCAUUUUAAACAUCUGAAUUUUGCAUUUUAAAAUAAAAAUCAUUAAAGUG